This 5099-nucleotide long non-coding RNA is filed under the name Mytilus galloprovincialis (Mediterranean mussel). Lineage: Eukaryota; Metazoa; Mollusca; Bivalvia; Mytilida; Mytilidae. The record is from RNAcentral.
AUUUAAUUGCACAUAGAAAAAUUAUCUGAAACAUUUGAAGAUUUUAGUAAGCAUUUAAAAUGAAGGAAAAAAUAUUCGUUGCGUGACAGUAAUAUGGUAGCCUCCAUUUGCCACGUUGGGAAAUAGUCAGUUUGAUAACAGUUUUGAGAUUAGACAGCGUCAAAGGUUGUUGAAAUAUUGGAAAUCCGUUAAAAAGGGAUUCAGUUUUAUAGAUUUUUUUAAUAUUUUUGCUACAAGUGUCUUUAAUCUGACUUCUCAAAUUUAUCAACUGGCUUCCAAUCCAAAUUUGGUAAUUUUUCUAGGAUUUUCUCUGUUUAUCAAACUUUAUGUAAAACAUCUGCCCAAAUAGGAUUAGUAAGUUACUUGGUAACUCCUAAACUUUAACACGAGACAUUUUUGGGUGAUGAAUGCUUUCCCUUGAAAUUUGAACAUUUCAAUAUUCAUUUGAGCUUGAAAUAAAAUUCAGUCGUCCAACAUGCACCUUCAAACAUGCAGCACUAGACGUUCUGUAUAUACAACAAAAGUAAUGAAGCAUGGGCAAUUGAAAGAAAAUAGUGUCCAUAUCUAAAAAUAAAAGUGUCCCAUUGUAAAGAUUUUAUUGCUAUAAGGGUAGUAAUUCCCUUUACCUUCAGCCGUCAAAUGGUCAUCUGUUAGCGUAAAUUGGGCUAAAAUAUAAUCAUGAUUCAUCUAGAGUUCUCAAAUAAUUAUCGCAACCAUUUAAGGAAAAUUGUUUAUGCAAUUCGUCAAGACAAAACCAGUCGAUUUUUUUCUAGCGAAAAGUGUACAUUUUAUUGUAAAGCACCAAACAUAACCAUUAAGAUCAUUUGUCAAGAGUUUUUACUGUUAUUCGUCAUGAAGGUAUACCUAUAACCGCCCUCUACUAGUUCCUGUGGUCUACCAAAACUUUGCAAAAGGCUUGAAAGCUUUUAUAGCAUACAAAAACUAUGUCAGGUAAACACCUAUAGGGGUAGCAGGUUUCCCUGUCAAUAUUUUUUAUCCCACCUUUCGCCAAACAAUAUUAUAUAUUUUCGCCAAGUUACAUAACUUAAAAUUUCCUUUUUUUUACCCCCCCCUUUUCUGCCCCAUGUUAUGAUUAUUCUGUCAAACUUAUUUUAGAAUCUACAAUUAAUGAAUAAACACUAAAACAUUUACUUUAAACAACAGUUUGUUUUAACAUAAGGGAAAAUAUUCUCGUAUUUUAAAACAACUUUCUAAAUGAGGGGCCACUAUACUUUUGAUAAAAAGAAAAUAAGUCUGGAAUAAACAAAAUUAAUGACAUGUUUUGAUUAAUAAUACCAUAUAUAGUUCGUAGGAAAUUCUUUAAAAGAAAAUAUUGAUUCCCUUUUUACUAAGAAGGGUUUUUACAACAAAACAAAAAGUUUUUAUCACUGUAUUUUGAUCUUUCAUUUCAUGUGAAGUCAUACAUUGGAGGCACUCCCAUUCGAGGGGUUUUCCCAACCUUAUGGAUAGAUUUCUUCAAAACGACAGGUUUCUUUUUUGACCAUCGUAAAUGAAAAAGUUGAGACAAAACUGCUUGAAACACGGUGUCACUCAAACGACUUUAAUAGUCUCCCUAAUAAUUACCUAUAUUAAAAUCAAAGGAUAAUUAAGUUUUGAAUCAGGGAUUUUCUUGUUUGAAAAUUUUGUCACAAAACAGCUUUCUUUUCUAAACUAUCUUUAAAAGAGAGAGACUCAAAAGUUUGCUUCAAACACGUGGUGAAAGUCGUAAAUAAUUCUGUAUGUGACUUAGCGGAAGCAUUUAACCAUAUCAUUUUGUCAACAAUUCAACAACACUUUAUUAUUAGUCCUGUUGUCGAUAGCUAAAAAUGCAAUCAGGCUGAUAUUGAUUUUCUGUCCAAAUCUUAAUGAGGUCAAGGUGAAUCCGAGUAUUUCUGAUCGGUAAAGUCUGGAAAUCUCGAAAAAAGUAAAUAAAAGAUGGAGGAAAAUAAAUCGUUCAUAUUUUUGCAAAUUUUUCGAAUACGAUUUUUUAUCGCCACAAUUAUUAUUUUUUCGCAAAUUGCGAAAAUGGCGACCGCCUGCAGGAUCCCUGGGGUAGGAAAACCUUUACUAUUAGGCUUCAAACGUUAAUCUUUAGAAUACGGUUUAGGAAUCUCCAUUACCUGUUUAAUGAUCGGUGGCGGCCCACACUCGUUAAAAUAUCACCCACCAACUUCAAAAGGGAAGGGUGCAAUUGCAUGCCAAAAUAACCUGCAGAAAACACUAUUGUAACAGGAGUCAACCAUUUCAACAUGACAUGCAUGAUGGAAUGUGAAAAUAUUAAAAGAUAAAUUGUUGUCCCUUCGUUGUGUUUUAGCGCUUGAUUUUGCCACUUGAUUAGGAUUUAUAUCUAGAAAUUGACCAGAUGAGGGUCAGUUGAAAACAAAACUUUACGACGAUCGAGAUGAUUUCGGCUUCCCUAUAGUAUAGUGAAGUUUUAUGGAAACUGAAAUCAUUACUUCGUAAAUUGUACGUACUCCAUGACGAGUUGGUUCACCAUUAUGGAAUACAGCCCUUGGAUGGUGUAAACUUACCAAAACAUGGUGUAAUGUAUGUAUGGUGUAUGGUGCAUGGUGUAUGGUGUAAGGGAAUGGUGUAAUGUUAUGAGGAAUGGUUGAUUGUGUAACGUGCGUCGGAAUGUUAUAUACUUUACGGACCUUUCGUGGUUGCAAACGAAGUUUUUUUCAUUUUUUUCGGAUUGUAGCAUAAAAAAUAAUAAAUUUAAUUUUAAAAUUUAAUUGCAUUAUGGGUAGUUUCAUGUGUAGAUAAAUGGGAAGGUUAUGUAAGUGUAAUGUAUGGUGCAAAGUGUAACGUUAUGUGUAAUGGUACAAGGUGUAUAUGUGUAAUGGUAUGGUAGGUAUGUAGUGUUAGUGGAGUUUACACCACAAGGAUGUAUUGUUAUAUAGAUGAUUCAGAUAUUCAUUAUGUUUGUAACUACAAACUGCCUUUUAUAACGACCGAAAAUUUGAAAAAUUUUCGUUAUAUUGCUAUCAGUUGCGUCAGGGUCGUCUCGUGUCUCGUGUCCGGCCCGAAUACUUUUAGUUUUCGCACUCUAACUUUAGUAAAGGUGAAUAGAAAUCUAUGAAAUUUUAACACAAGGUUUAUGACCAUAAAAGGAAGGUUGGUAUUGAUUUUGGGAGUUUUGCUCCCAACAUUUUAGGAAUUGGGGGCCAAAAAGGGCCCAAAUAAGCAUUUUCUUGGUUUUCGCACUAUAACUUUAGUUUCAGUUAAUGGAAAUCUAUGAAAUUUUGACACAAGGUUUAUGACCACAAAAGAAAGGUUGGGAUUGAUUUUGGGAGUUUUGGUUUCAACAGUUUAGGAAUUAGGGGCCAAAAAAGGGCCCAAAAUAAGCAUUAUUCUUGGUUUUUGCACAAUAACUUUAGUUUUAGUAAAUAGAAAUCAAUGAAAUUUAAACACAAUGUUUAUGACCACAAAAGGAAGUUUGUAUUUUUUGAGUUUUGGUCCAACAGUUAGGAAUAAAGGGCCAAAGGGUCCAAAUUAAACUUGUUUGAUUUCAUCAAAAAUUGAAUAAUUGGGUUCUUUGGUAUGCCGAAUCUAACUGUGUAUCAGAUUCUUAAUUUUUGUCCCUUUUUCAAAUUGGUCUACAGAUUAAGUCAAAGGGUUCCAAAUUAAACUUAGUUUGAUUUUAACAAAAAUGAAUCCUGGGGGUUUUGAAUGCUGAAUUAGAAAUGUACUUAGAUUUUUAAAUGGGUUUUAAGUUGGUCAAAUGGGGUCCAAAAUAAACUUGUUCAUCAAAAAUUGAAUAAAUGGGUUUUUUAUAUGCAAAUCAACGUGUAUGUAUUCUUAAUUUUGUCAGUUUUCAAAUGGUCUCAUUAAGGUCCAAAGGGUAAAAUUAAACUAAGUUUGAUUUUAACAAAAAUUAAAUUCUUGGGCUUAUUUGAUAUGCUUCUACUAAAUUUGAUUUUUGAUUAUGGGCCCAGUUUUCAAUUUGGUCCAAAUCAGGAUUCCAUAUCAAUUGUGGAAUAGAAGAAAUUAAAUGCAAGAUUGCACAAUAGCAAGAAAAUAUCUAAUGCAUAUUGUGCAAUAGAAUUAAUUCAAUUGGAGUUAUUUUUUGUAUAGAAUAGAGUUGAUAUAUAUAUGUGAUGAAUUGCCAGACGAUGAUAUGAUGUACAUUUUGACUAUUUUUAUUUGCCAAUAAUUUAUAUGAAAUAACUUUGGAAAUGCCAAUUAAAAUGUUCUGAAUUUUUUUUUUUUUUUAUACAAUAAAAAUGUAUAUUCACUUUUACUACCAACCAAUCUUUACCAUUCAGUGAUAACAAGCACUUUAUUUUACAUUUUAAUAUUUUAUGAUGUAUUUAAGAGUAGUUAUUGUUGCAAACUCCAUUAGAAAUUUGAAUUGAUAUCAGUUUUGGAAAAAGGGAAAGGGGAUGUGAAAAAAAAAAAGGGGGUUUAAAUUUUUCUCAUUUAGAUUUCAUAAAUAAAAAGAAAUUUCUUCAAACAUUUUUUUGAGAGAUUCAUAUUCAACAGCAUAGUGAAUUGCCUCAAAGCAAAAAAAAUAUUUUAAGUUCAUUAGACCACAUUCAUCUGUGUCAAACCUAUGCUGUGUCAAUAUUUAAUUUUAGAUUAAAAAGUUUGAAGAGAAGUCUUUAAUUGAUUUGUAAAUCUUGACAUUUGUUGUGUGAAAAAAAACAUGUAAUGUCAAAAAUUGAUCACAAUCCAAAUCCAGAGCUGUAUCACGCUUGAAUGUUUUGUCCAUACUUGCCCCAACUGUUCAGGUUCGACCUCUCGGUCGUAUAAAGCUGCGCCCUGCGGAGCACCUGGUUUACAAAUGUGACCUACUGAAUUCGACUUUUUACCUUUAUUUCUGACAUUUUUACAGAUUGUGUCUGCUGUUUGUUUUGUUUACACAUCAUUAUCAAUAUUAUCAAAUUUGAUGUGUUUAAUCCUUUGAUUUUGCCAUUUGAUUAGGGACUUUCCGUUUUCAAUUUUUCUCGGAGUUCAGUACUUUUGUGAUUUUACUUUUUGAGGUGAUUUAUUUUUUGUUUUUUUCAUUUCAGAGUGUGUUCCAGUUUUGACAAGCAAUCAUGUCAACCAAAACACCUGCAGAGUCUGUCAUUGAAUUAGGUGAAGGUAAGAAUCUA